This 270-nucleotide ribosomal RNA is filed under the name uncultured bacterium. Its description in RNAcentral is "partial 16S ribosomal RNA". It matches the Rfam family "Bacterial small subunit ribosomal RNA", at positions 333 to 599 of the family's 1533-position model. The record is from RNAcentral.
CGAGUCCUACGGGGGGCAGCAGUGAGGAAUAUUGGUCAAUGGGCGCGAGCCUGAACCAGCCAAGUCGCGUGAGGGAAGACUGCCCUAUGGGUUGUAAACCUCUUUUGUCAGGGAGCAAUUGGCGCUACGUGUAGCGUUAUCGAGAGUACCUGAAGAAAAAGCAUCGGCUAACUCCGUGCCAGCAGCCGCGGUAAUACGGAGGAUGCGAGCGUUAUCCGGAUUUAUUGGGUUUAAAGGGUGCGUAGGCGGAAUGCCAAGUCAGCGGUAAAA